RNAcentral lists this ribosomal RNA (453 nucleotides) under uncultured bacterium. RNAcentral describes it as "bacterial SSU rRNA". It matches the Rfam family "Bacterial small subunit ribosomal RNA", at positions 340 to 784 of the family's 1533-position model. The record is from RNAcentral.
UACGGAAGGCAGCAGUGGGGAAUAUUGCACAAUGGGCGCAAGCCUGAUGCAGCCAUGCCGCGUGUAUGAAGAAGGCCUUCGGGUUGUAAAGUACUUUUCAGCGGGGAGGAAGGCGGUGAAGUUAAUAGCUUCACCGAUUGACGUUACCCGCAGAAGAAGCACCGGCUAACUCCGUGCCAGCAGCCGCGGUAAUACGGAGGGUGCAAGCGUUAAUCGGAAUUACUGGGCGUAAAGCGCACGCAGGCGGUCUGUCAAGUCGGAUGUGAAAUCCCCGGGCUUAACCUGGGAACUGCAUUCGAAACUGGCAGGCUAGAGUCUUGUAGAGGGGGUAGAAUUCCAGGUGUAGCGGUGAAAUGCGUAGAGAUCUGGAGGAAUACCGGUGGCGAAGGCGGCCCCUGGGACAAGACUGACGCUCAGGUGCGAAAGCGUGGGGAGCAAACAGGGAUUAGGAUA